AAGCCAACUUUGAUUUAUGUCUUAUUCAGCUCUUACCGACCAAUUUCAUCACUAUCAUUCAUUGCAUGUCAUCAUAUUUCCAUGUGCAUAAAAAUCAUUUCUUCCUUCCACUAUCUCGGUGCUAUAUAUCACAUCCAACAGUGACUUUCAGCAUACGUAAUUAAUUUGCAUAUAUGAGUUGAAAUAAUCGUAGCAUACAUUGUCACAAUCAGAUAAUUUAUAACACAUUAAUUACUCGUAUUUCUCUUAUAUUCAACUUAAUUAACUUAUGACGGUCAAGAUAGAUAAGUGUGAUUUUAAGAUUGCGUAUGAACAUGCUUGAUUAAUUUUUUUUACGUUGAUUAAAACUAUUGAUCAUUUAAUGUCACUGAUAUAAAUAAUCGCUUUUGUUAAAAUUUUUUGUUUGGUCAGGGAUUAAGACCAAAUGAGACCCAAACCAAAGAACAGCACAUCAUACCAACCUCAUUCAUCUAUCUGCAAUUCAGCCUCUGCUACAUUGCGACAUAUCAAGCUUGCACUCUUUAUCCUCGGCGGACCUUCAAAAACAUACCAACUCUUUCGAAGAAGAUGCUCCUUCUCGCCUUGUCAGAAUCAAGAUUAAUUCAUCCGAUUGCACGAUUGGCAUAUGGUUCAGCUCCUUCAAAACCUUUACGGGCAUCCGCAAGAUCAGAGGUUGUUGUUUCCUUACCUCCAUUAUCAUCGAAUUAGUUGCUCGGGAGAUAUGUGAUUGCCUUCUUCCUCGCUAUUGGGAAUGUCGUGGACGUAUAAGAUGCGCCGAUAAGAAUUGUCGCGUUCUAUCCCACUGAAAGUUGCUUCUCUCGCCAAUAUCAAAUAAAUAUAUUUCUUUGCCUGAUGAAAAGACUACAACACCUUUAGUAGAACCGAGAUUCUUCUCCAGUUUCGCCUUCAACCAAUCAACAAAGGUCAUACGACAAAGGCCGGUUGUGACCAAAACCUAGAAACUAUACGAUUCAGGUUGAAACACGGACUCUAUCUCAGAUCACAAGUGAUCUGGCUAGAUGGGAUACCACUUCAAACUGCAAUGACUUACUGUUUCGCUUCUGUUUGUAACCCACUCCUAGUAUGAUCUACGAUCGUUACACUUUCCGCACCCACCUAGCUUCCUUUUUGAUGAUUGUCUCAAUGCUUCUUGGAGGGUGUGUUCACCAAUUCUAGUGAAGAUCAUCUGCCAUCUUCAGUCUCGGCACCUUAUGAGCCAGAACAUUUCCUUCUCUCGGCAACCACAUCAGACUGCUACCAGGAACACUAUCUAGUAAAUGCCAAAUAUCUUGUUGUAUUGCAUCCACUUCACCAAUAGAACUUUUGGACUUAAUCGCCUGUAAGAGAGGCAGAGAGUCUAAUUCCACCAAGACAUUUUCCAUCCCCAAAUUUUUGGUUGUGAUUAAUUUACCAUUGCAGCAGCCCCUUCUUUGUUUUUGAACGCCGCGUCAACAUUCAUUUUCAAUCAAUUGUUCGGAGGAGGUCUCCAUCUUAUCAGGCUGUAUGUGAUCAACGCCGUAUGGCCGCGGUCAUUAAUCUCCUCUGCUUCAGAUCAAAAGCUAUAUGGCCGCAGUCAUCCAAUCUAAACAAGGGUGAAGCUCUAGCAGUUCAUUCUCUUAGUGAUCCUACACAAAAUGCCAUAGAUAGGGUCGAAUCUUCCGAAUCAGAGAAUGCUGUUCCUCCGGGUUCUAGACUCUACCACAGAGACCCUAAUCUCCCCGUAAAUUGGCUAAACUGGUGCCUCGAGAAGUCCCCAACGAAGUCGUGGAUUAGCCGUCUGAGAGAUGUAUAAUCAAGCUGGCGGUUCGUGCUUUCUAGCCACGUAUUCACACGAACCCAAGAAGACACGGGUGGUUGUCAGACACGCGGCCUUGGUAUGAUGAACGGAGCUGAUUGUCACAGAUCAUCCCAUUCACCAUAUUGAAGAAUGAAUAUACAUCUUAGAAUUGAAUCAAAUAUGGAUCGGAAAGAAACAAUAAUACUUUUUAUUGAUUCAUAUAACUCAGCAAGGCUCCACCCCUCAACCUAGGAGGUUUAGAAACUCAUACUAAUAGAAAAUACAAUGAUGAACAAAAAUAUGGUGUAAAGUGAUGGUAGAUGAUAUUCGAAAAACAUAAAUUCAAUCCCUUAAAUACUAAACUAAUGACUAGUAAAGGGUAAAACAGUCUUUUUAGUGGUAAGAUCCACUUCUG
Non-coding RNA from Arachis ipaensis, 2192 nucleotides. The record is from RefSeq and is a predicted model, not a curated record. Lineage: Eukaryota; Viridiplantae; Streptophyta; Magnoliopsida; Fabales; Fabaceae.